GGGCGUAGUUCAAUGGCAGAACAUCAGCUUCCCAAGCUGAAUACGCGGGUUCGAUUCCCGUCGCCC
Molecule: transfer RNA, 66 nt
Filed under: human gut metagenome
Rfam family: tRNA
About the family: Transfer RNA (tRNA) molecules are approximately 80 nucleotides in length. Their secondary structure includes four short double-helical elements and three loops (D, anti-codon, and T loops).
Source: RNAcentral